CUCAACCGGGCGAGGUCGUUGAAAACUGAGGGGCUUGAGACCGCAAGAGGAAGGCGGAAUUCCCGGUGGAGUGGUGGAAUGCGUAGAGAUCGGGAAGAACACCCGUGGCGAAAGCGGCCUUCUGGAGCGGGUCUGACGCUGAGGUGCGAAAGCGUGGGGAGCGAACGGGAUUAGAUACCCCGGUAGUCCACGCUGUAAACGCUGUGAACUAGGUGUGGGAGGGGACCACCUUCCGUGCCGCAGCCAACGCGCUAAGUUCACCGCCUGGGGAGUACGGCCGCAAGGCUAAAACUCAAAGGAAUUGACGGGGGCCCGCACAAGCAGCGGAGCGUGUGGUUUAAUUCGAUGCAACGCGCAGAACCUUACCUGGGCUUGACAUGACCGUCGUAGUGAAGGGAAACCGGAACGAGCCUUCGGGCAGCG
RNAcentral lists this ribosomal RNA (423 nucleotides) under uncultured bacterium. RNAcentral's name for it is "bacterial SSU rRNA". It matches the Rfam family "Bacterial small subunit ribosomal RNA", at positions 608 to 1029 of the family's 1533-position model. The record is from RNAcentral.